This 615-nucleotide ribosomal RNA is filed under the name uncultured bacterium. RNAcentral describes it as "bacterial SSU rRNA". It matches the Rfam family "Bacterial small subunit ribosomal RNA", at positions 8 to 669 of the family's 1533-position model. The record is from RNAcentral.
AGAGUUUGAUCCUGGCUCAGAACGAACGCUGGCGGCAUGCCUAACACAUGCAAGUCGAACGAGACCUUCGGGUCUAGUGGCGCACGGGUGCGUAACGCGUGGGAAUCUGCCCUUGGGUUCGGAAUAACAGUUAGAAAUGACUGCCAAUACCGGAUGAUGACUUCGGUCCAAAGAUUUAUCGCCCAAGGAUGAGCCCGCGUAGGAUUAGGUAGUUGGUGGGGUAAAGGCUCACCAAGCCGACGAUCCUUAGCUGGUCUGAGAGGAUGAUCAGCCACACUGGGACUGAGACACGGCCCAGACUCCUACGGGAGGCAGCAGUGGGGAAUAUUGGACAAUGGGCGAAAGCCUGAUCCAGCAAUGCCGCGUGAGUGAUGAAGGCCUUAGGGUUGUAAAGCUCUUUUACCAGGGAUGAUAAUGACAGUACCUGGAGAAUAAGCUCCGGCUAACUCCGUGCCAGCAGCCGCGGUAAUACGGAGGGAGCUAGCGUUGUUCGGAAUUACUGGGCGUAAAGCGCACGUAGGCGGUACAUCAAGUCAGGGGUGAAAGCCCGGAGCUCAACUCCGGAACUGCCCUUGAAACUAGUGUACUAGAAUCUUGGAGAGGCGGGUGGAAUUC